Molecule: ribosomal RNA, 427 nt
Filed under: uncultured bacterium
Lineage: Bacteria
Description: bacterial SSU rRNA
Rfam family: Bacterial small subunit ribosomal RNA
Source: RNAcentral
GAGGAAUCUUGCGCAAUGGGGGAAACCCUGACGCAGCCACGCCGCGUGGGUGAAGAAGGUCUUCGGAUCGUAAAGCCCUGUCAGGUGGGAAGAACCGCAGUCGGGUGAAUAAUCUGGCUGCCUGACGGUACCACCAAAGGAAGCACCGGCUAACUCCGUGCCAGCAGCCGCGGUAAUACGGAGGGUGCAAGCGUUGUUCGGAAUUACUGGGCGUAAAGCGCGUGUAGGCGGCCUGAUAAGUCAUAUGUGAAAGCCCUCGGCUUAACCGGGGAAGUGCAUCUGAUACUGUCAGGCUUGAGUCCUGGAGAGGGUUGUGGAAUGCCCGGUGUAGAGGUGAAAUUCGUAGAUAUCGGGAGGAACACCAGUGGCGAAGGCGACAACCUGGACAGAGACUGACGCUGAGACGCGAAAGCGUGGGGAGCAAACA